This 184-nucleotide ribosomal RNA is filed under the name Valdensinia heterodoxa. Its description in RNAcentral is "5.8S ribosomal RNA". The stretch from base 28 to 181 matches the Rfam family "5.8S ribosomal RNA". Rfam says of the family: 5.8S ribosomal RNA (5.8S rRNA) is a component of the large subunit of the eukaryotic ribosome. The record is from RNAcentral. Lineage: Eukaryota; Fungi; Ascomycota; Leotiomycetes; Helotiales; Sclerotiniaceae.
GUCGUCUGAGUACUAUGUAAUAGUUAAAACUUUCAACAACGGAUCUCUUGGUUCUGGCAUCGAUGAAGAACGCAGCGAAAUGCGAUAAGUAAUGUGAAUUGCAGAAUUCAGUGAAUCAUCGAAUCUUUGAACGCACAUUGCGCCCCUUGGUAUUCCGGGGGGCAUGCCUGUUCGAGCGUCAUUU